Non-coding RNA from Zootermopsis nevadensis, 510 nucleotides. NCBI's taxonomy places the organism in Eukaryota, Metazoa, Arthropoda, Insecta, Blattodea, Termopsidae. The record is from RefSeq and is a predicted model, not a curated record.
UAGGAGUUGAAGGUGACUGGAUUUUUUGGCCCAGGACAGGGUCCGGUGGAGGGCUUUGGUUAAUUUGGUGAUGAACCUUCGGGUUCGGUAAGCCAUCUAGUUAGUGAGUGGUCUCGUGCAGCAAUGCCAACAACAGUGCAGACAUGUAUCCGUCAAAUGCCUCGAACUUUAACAAAUGUGAGUAAUUAGUUUCUUCGAUCAAUCUUAUAAGGUCUGUUAUUUCUGUUUAAUGAAAAUCAAACUAAUACUGGACCGGUUAGUGUGUGAAGUGUUUUAUUUCAUCGCACGAGGACUGAAGAUCGAAAUAAAAUGGGUGUUCCUUCGUAUGGCCUUGGGCAGACAAGUCGCUCGGAUAGAAGAUACGUCUGAAGUGGUAUGAGUUUGUGCUGUGUGACUGGACAGAAUGAUCAGGUCAGCUGUCGUAUGCUGUGAUAGAUCAACCCAGAAGACGACCAUAUUCGACUGUCCUUGGGUCUCAACCAAACUCCUACAGUAAAGCCACAUGCAGCC